UUGACAUGUGCGUCCGCAAAUACACAGUAUCCUAGAUUUCGUUUGUGUUUUGACAUGUACCCGUACUUGGUUUGGAACUAUUUCGUUUAAAUAAUAUUAUUUAUAUUAUUUAAGUAUCCUAGUUUCGUUUGUGUUUUCGAGAACGUGCAUAUUUUCGAAACAGAUGUGUGCAUUAGAUAAAUUUUUAAACCAAACCCACUACCUAUAAAUUUGCAAAUUAAACCCACGAAUUAUUGGGC
RNAcentral lists this long non-coding RNA (239 nucleotides) under Brassica napus (rape). RNAcentral describes it as "long non-coding RNA (BNAP_LNC002910)". The record is from RNAcentral. Lineage: Eukaryota; Viridiplantae; Streptophyta; Magnoliopsida; Brassicales; Brassicaceae.